Molecule: ribosomal RNA, 208 nt
Filed under: uncultured bacterium
Lineage: Bacteria
Description: partial 16S ribosomal RNA
Rfam family: Bacterial small subunit ribosomal RNA
Source: RNAcentral
UACGAAGGGUGCAAACGUUGCUCGGAAUUAUUGGGCGUAAAGCGCACGUAGGCGGCUUAGCAAGUCGGAAGUGAAAGCCUCGGCUCAACCAAGGAAGUGCUUUCGAAACUGCUGAGCUUGAGUACUUAAGAGGAUCGCGGAAUUCCCGGUGUAGAGGUGAAAUUCGUAGAUAGUCGGGAGGAACACCAGUGGCGAAGGCGGCGAUCUG